Molecule: long non-coding RNA, 780 nt
Filed under: Panicum hallii
Lineage: Eukaryota; Viridiplantae; Streptophyta; Magnoliopsida; Poales; Poaceae
Description: long non-coding RNA (PHAL_LNC000217)
Source: RNAcentral
UUUAUUUAAUAUUUUAUUUAAUACUUAAAUGAUAAGAUUCUUUUUGAUGUGACACCUCUAAACUUUAGACUAAAAAACGAACACAUCCUUAAUCAACGAGCGUUGAUUAGACCGUUGCUUAGCGACUUCAAGAGCGGGGAAGCGACAUGGCAGGGCAUUGGGAUUGGACUAUUGGAGCCUCGGAGACAAAUCAGCAAGCAAGGUCACCGGCAAGUCAAGAAGCCGAGGCACUGCGUGGGAGGCAAGGAAACAACAGCGCUCAGCUGCUCAAAAGGACGGAAGAGCUUCCGCCCAGACGAGCUUCUCCAGAAGGUUUCUCUCGUCGUGAAGACUCAAGAGAGCGGCUCUAGAAAAUUAAACGAGAAAUGAAACGAUGCAAGUUAACAUCACACCAGCAGAAAGAGGAUUGUGACACCGGAGGGGAAGCAAAAAGAGAAGAAGGCACCUACGUAGUCCUUCAGCCGAUCCUAUUCCAAGCAAACGAGAUCUAACAUCGGGCGCCAGCAGGAAUCAGAUUGCCAGGACCAGGAACUCAGGGACUCGAAAAGCGAAAUAAGAAGACGAUCGGAACGGAACGAUCAUCUUGUCGCGGAAAAAGCAGCCUGGAGAAGGGACCGAGAGAAUGGCUGCAGGCGAGCGCGUCCUCGGCUGUCGAUAGCUCGCCGGCGGGUGGCGGCCGCCGGCCCCGUCGUCGUGUCGCCUCCCGCGAGCUAUGGCUGUCGAAUCGAAGCAACGCGCCGGCCGGCGAGAGCUGCACGAGCACGAUCGGAGUGGCCUUUG